GCAUUAGUGGCUCAGUGGUAGAAUUCUUGCCUUCCAUUUGGGAGACUUGGGUUCAAUUCCUGGCUAACGCA
Molecule: transfer RNA, 71 nt
Filed under: Loxodonta africana (African savanna elephant)
Lineage: Eukaryota; Metazoa; Chordata; Mammalia; Proboscidea; Elephantidae
Rfam family: tRNA
About the family: Transfer RNA (tRNA) molecules are approximately 80 nucleotides in length. Their secondary structure includes four short double-helical elements and three loops (D, anti-codon, and T loops).
Source: Rfam by way of RNAcentral